RNAcentral lists this ribosomal RNA (574 nucleotides) under uncultured bacterium. Its description in RNAcentral is "bacterial SSU rRNA". It matches the Rfam family "Bacterial small subunit ribosomal RNA", at positions 102 to 674 of the family's 1533-position model. The record is from RNAcentral.
ACGGGUGAGUAACGCGUGAGAAUUUUCCCUUUAGUGAAGAAUACCCUUGAGAAAUCAGGGUUAAUACUGCAUAAGUCCCUGCGGGGAGAAAGGUGGCCUCUUUGCUGCCGCUAAAGGAUAAGCUUGCGUACUAUUAGCUAGUUGGUGAGGUAAAGGCUCACCAAGGCAAUGAUGGUUAGCCGGCCUGAGAGGGUGUACGGCCACACUGGAACUUAGACACGGUCCAGACUCCUACGGGAGGCAGCAGUGAGGAAUAUUGCGCAAUGGGCGAAAGCCUGACGCAGCGACGCCGCGUGGAGGAUGAAGGUCUUCGGAUUGUAAACUCCUGUUAAGUGGGAAGAAAGACCUAUUUAUAAUACAGAUAGGGGAUGACGGUACCAUUAGAGAAAGCACCGGCUAACUUCGUGCCAGCAGCCGCGGUAAUACGAGGGGUGCAAGCGUUAUUCGGAAUCAUUGGGCGUAAAGGGUGCGUAGACGGCUUGUUAAGUCAACAGUUAAAUUCUCCGGCCUAACUGGAGGUCAGCUGUAGAAACUAAUAGGCUUGAGAUUGGAAGAGAGAAGUGGAAUUCUCGGA